GCUGUGCACUCGUUCCAAGAGUGUAACAUUGGAAAGAGCUUCUUCACAAAAUGUGGAUGAAGUGGGGGACCAAGAAAUACAUGAAGCUUCUACACAAGAUGUGCAGCCUCCUGUACGUGUCACUCGCGGGCCAAGCAAGUACUUGGAUAUUUGAGAUCUUCCCGAUGAAGAAGAAAUUGAGUUGCCGCUAAAUAGUAUGCAUCAGCCGGUUGAUGAUGGGGUGAGGACUUUCACUGGUUUCUUGGGUACGAUUGCGCGGAAACCUCACAUGUGCCCGAUAAGAUUUCUUAAUUGGAAGAAGGUAGCAGAAGAAUUUAAAGAAGAGUGUUGGCGUCUUGUAGAGCGAAAAUACAGUGUCCCUGCUGAUCCUAUUGCAUAUGCGGCUUUGAAGACAUUUACCUUACAAAAAAUUGGGAAGGCUUGGAGGGAUCAUAAGUCUAAGCUGAAGAAACAGUAUUAUAUACCUCAUUCAAGAAACAAAGCAAGCGUAAAGAGCC
This is a long non-coding RNA of Quercus lobata, 497 nucleotides long. RefSeq lists it as uncharacterized. The transcript is spliced from 3 exons. NCBI's taxonomy places the organism in Eukaryota, Viridiplantae, Streptophyta, Magnoliopsida, Fagales, Fagaceae. The record is from RefSeq and is a predicted model, not a curated record.